AUGGUCUCAGAGACCCUGACUCUCAGCCGAAGGACCCUGUGCCCAGAGGAGUGGGGGCUCCUGGGGAGUGUCCGGCCCUCCCUGAGUCCUUCUGGAGAGACCGUCAGUACUCCAUUCUCACCCCUGCUUGGUUCCCACGAUGCUCUGAGGACUGUGGAUACCCCUCCAUGUGCUGUGUUACGUACGUCCCUCAACACAACACCCACCUUGGAAAAAGGUACUGGACCCUGCAGGCCAGGCAGAGGGAAGGGACGGAGAAGGAAGAAGUGUCAGAUGUCCAGAUCUUGCCAUGCGCCUUGUCCUGCAAACAGAAGGGGAAGGAUGUAUCGCUGCCUGCCCCCCAUCUCCUGCUCAGGACGCUGUGCAACUGGCUCAGUGGUGUCAUAAAGCUGUGAAAAUGUGUUAACGAUACGUAACUUGAGGGAGGGCUGUCGUGCAUGUAGCACUCAUCAGAGCUGGCAUAGUCCAGCAGGAAGAAGCAAGAGCUCCUCUGGGCCAGCAAUAGGAGUUGGCCUUUGCCUGCUGCCGGUGAAAGGCUCCCACUUGGCUCACCCACAGCCAAGGAAGGAGCACCACUGCUUCAAAUGCUCAGGUUCCUCCAAAAAACUUGCAUGCGAAAGGACACCCCCCCCCCUCCCCGCGUCCUCCUUAAAAGGACACCCUCCUUUGUUCUGUGCUCCUGCAUGUUUUGCCUGAGUCGUGCUUGUCCUCAGUUGCCUUACUUCUUCUCUUCCCAAAUAAACUUGAUUUUGCUGGCUGAGUGGUUCA
Molecule: long non-coding RNA, 768 nt
Filed under: Vulpes vulpes (red fox)
Lineage: Eukaryota; Metazoa; Chordata; Mammalia; Carnivora; Canidae
Description: lncRNA (ENSVVUG00000022313.1)
Source: RNAcentral